GGGACCGAAUCGUGACACAAAAAAAAUCCUCUUUAUCUCCUCAUCUUCCUCGACAGUUUAGAUUUAGGGUUUCUCCAUCAAAACUAUUCACUUCACAACCACAAACGUAUCCUUUCUACUUCUCAAAUUAAAUUCAUAAACUGUUCAUCUUUCUCUAUCUAUACAUCCUCCAGUCUUUACUCAGCCUAUCAAUAAUGGUUGGGUUUCGAAAUUCUCACCAAUAAAUAGUUCAUCACAGAACGAGCCCUUCCUCUACCUGCUUCUGUUGCUCAAGCCGUCCGCCACUCAACUUUUGAGGCUCUUUGACUUGCCUGGACUUCUCAAUUCAUUGUUGCUCGCCUCCUCAGCUUCUGGGAGCAUCAGACAGCCUGUCUCAGCUUCUGGGAGACGCCGGACGUCAAGAAAAACGCAGUGUGGGUUUUGUCAAGCUAGAGCCAAAUCGGCAGACAUCUCCAUGCGCUGGACAACGACAUCAAACUUCACGCUCUGCCGGAGAAACAUCACAUGACACAGCCAGAGAGUUGGAACCAUCACACGCCUUGGAGGAAGACGAUGGUAAUGGAGAGUCAAACGCAAACACUGGUGUGGCUUUAGUAUGGAGAGGUUCUCAGAUGUGACUGAGGAAGAAAGAAGGAUCUCGAUUCCAUAUAGUAUAACAUCUAACUUUGAAAGAAAGCUCACGAGCACUCAUUCACCGUGAAGCCUGCUUUUUCUGUUGGGAGUAAUCUGAAGCCUUCUGCUGCAAGAAAAGAACUCAAGUGUCCUUUGGUUUCUACUAGGGAGCGGUUUAAGUGGUGUUGGUUUCAUGUCGGUGCAACUACACAAGUAGAUAUCUAUUGCUGUGGUUUUAGCCAUGUUUGUGUCUUUAUUCUCUUCAGAUCAUUUUUUUUUUUGUUGGAUCCGGAAUCAAGGUUGUUUUUCAAUGUGUUUAAAUUAUAAACAAGAGAGAUGUGAAGUAUUUUUAAAUUGUGUACACAUGGAAAUAUAAUAAAAGAUAGGAAUACCAUGAUCAAGAAGUUACCCGGAGUUGCUAGCUCAGCUGGAAACACCUUCUUCCCAAAGGGUAGAGGUGCCAGGUUCGAAUCUCAGCAGCUGCGGGGAGGGGAUUAAACAACCUGCUCCUGUUUGAUUAAAAGGAUGAGAUCACAACAAACGAUUUAACGCCAAACUAGUUAGACUCCUUUCGCUAACUUCAGUUAACGCAUAUUAGUAUAUUACUCAAUUUUGUUAUCUGACAAAAAAAAUACACGUUAGUUAUU
This is a long non-coding RNA of Brassica napus (rape), 1259 nucleotides long. RefSeq lists it as uncharacterized. The record is from RefSeq and is a predicted model, not a curated record. The transcript is spliced from 3 exons. NCBI's taxonomy places the organism in Eukaryota, Viridiplantae, Streptophyta, Magnoliopsida, Brassicales, Brassicaceae.